This 1867-nucleotide ribosomal RNA is filed under the name Campylobacter jejuni. RNAcentral describes it as "partial 23S ribosomal RNA". It matches the Rfam family "Bacterial large subunit ribosomal RNA", at positions 1 to 1872 of the family's 2925-position model. The record is from RNAcentral. Lineage: Bacteria; Pseudomonadati; Campylobacterota; Epsilonproteobacteria; Campylobacterales; Campylobacteraceae.
AGGUAAGCUACUAAGAGCGAAUGGUGGAUGCCUUGACUGGUAAAGGCGAUGAAGGACGUACUAGACUGCGAUAAGCUACGGGGAGCUGUCAAGAAGCUUUGAUCCGUAGAUUUCCGAAUGGGGCAACCCAAUGUAUAGAGAUAUACAUUACCUAUAUAGGAGCGAACGAGGGGAAUUGAAACAUCUUAGUACCCUCAGGAAAAGAAAUCAAUAGAGAUUGCGUCAGUAGCGGCGAGCGAAAGCGCAAGAGGGCAAACCCAGUGCUUGCACUGGGGGUUGUAGGACUGCAAUGUGCAAGAGGUAAGUUUAGCAGAACAUUCUGGAAAGUAUAACCAUAGAGGGUGAUAGUCCCGUAUGCGAAAAACAAACCUUAGCUAGCAGUAUCCUGAGUAGGGCGGGACACGAGGAAUCCUGUCUGAAUCCGGGUCGACCACGAUCCAACCCUAAAUACUAAUACCAGAUCGAUAGUGCACAAGUACCGUGAGGGAAAGGUGAAAAGAACUGAGGUGAUCAGAGUGAAAUAGAACCUGAAACCAUUUGCUUACAAUCAUUCAGAGCCCUAUGUAGCAAUACAGGGUGAUGGACUGCCUUUUGCAUAAUGAGCCUGCGAGUUGUGGUGUCUGGCAAGGUUAAGCAAACGCGAAGCCGUAGCGAAAGCGAGUCUGAAUAGGGCGCUUAGUCAGAUGCUGCAGACCCGAAACGAAGUGAUCUAUCCAUGAGCAAGUUGAAGCUAGUGUAAGAACUAGUGGAGGACUGAACCCAUAGGCGUUGAAAAGCCCCGGGAUGACUUGUGGAUAGGGGUGAAAGGCCAAUCAAACUUCGUGAUAGCUGGUUCUCUCCGAAAUAUAUUUAGGUAUAGCGUUGUGUCGUAAUAUAAGGGGGUAGAGCACUGAAUGGGCUAGGGCAUACACCAAUGUACCAAACCCUAUCAAACUCCGAAUACCUUAUAUGUAAUCACAGCAGUCAGGCGGCGAGUGAUAAAAUCCGUCGUCAAGAGGGAAACAACCCAGACUACCAGCUAAGGUCCCUAAAUCUUACUUAAGUGGAAAACGAUGUGAAGUUACUUAAACAACCAGGAGGUUGGCUUAGAAGCAGCCAUCCUUUAAAGAAAGCGUAAUAGCUCACUGGUCUAGUGAUUUUGCGCGGAAAAUAUAACGGGGCUAAAGUAAGUACCGAAGCUGUAGACUUAGUUUACUAAGUGGUAGGAGAGCGUUCUAUUUGCGUCGAAGGUAUACCGGUAAGGAGUGCUGGAGCGAAUAGAAGUGAGCAUGCAGGCAUGAGUAGCGAUAAUUAAUGUGAGAAUCAUUAACGCCGUAAACCCAAGGUUUCCUACGCGAUGCUCGUCAUCGUAGGGUUAGUCGGGUCCUAAGUCGAGUCCGAAAGGGGUAGACGAUGGCAAAUUGGUUAAUAUUCCAAUACCAACAUUAGUGUGCGAUGGAAGGACGCUUAGGGCUAAGGGGGCUAGCGGAUGGAAGUGCUAGUCUAAGGUCGUAGGAGGUUAUACAGGCAAAUCCGUAUAACAAUACUCCGAGAACUGAAAGGCUUUUUGAAGUCUUCGGAUGGAUAGAAGAACCCCUGAUGCCGUCGAGCCAAGAAAAGUUUCUAAGUUUAGCUAAUGUUGCCCGUACCGUAAACCGACACAGGUGGGUGGGAUGAGUAUUCUAAGGCGCGUGGAAGAACUCUCUUUAAGGAACUCUGCAAAAUAGCACCGUAUCUUCGGUAUAAGGUGUGGUUAGCUUUGUAUUAGGAUUUACUCCGAAAGCAAGGAAACUUACAACAAAGAGUCCCUCCCGACUGUUUACCAAAAACACAGCACUCUGCUAACUCGUAAGAGGAUGUAUAGGGUGUGACGCCUGCCCGGUGCUCG